UUGGUCACAACAAUAUUCCGUU
Molecule: non-coding RNA, 22 nt
Filed under: Arabidopsis thaliana (thale cress)
Lineage: Eukaryota; Viridiplantae; Streptophyta; Magnoliopsida; Brassicales; Brassicaceae
Source: RNAcentral